RNAcentral lists this ribosomal RNA (484 nucleotides) under uncultured bacterium. Its description in RNAcentral is "partial 16S ribosomal RNA". It matches the Rfam family "Bacterial small subunit ribosomal RNA", at positions 29 to 507 of the family's 1533-position model. The record is from RNAcentral.
AUUGAACGCUGGCGGCAUGCUUUACACAUGCAAGUCGAACGGCAGCGCGGGCUUCGGCCUGGCGGCGAGUGGCGAACGGGUGAGUAAUACAUCGGAACGUGCCCAGUAGUGGGGGAUAGCUCGGCGAAAGCCGGAUUAAUGCCGCAUACGACCUGCGGGUGAAAGCGGGGGAUCUUCGGACCUCGCGCUAUUGGAGCGGCCGAUGGCAGAUUAGCUAGUUGGUGGGGUAAGGGCCUACCAAGGCGACGAUCUGUAGCUGGUCUGAGAGGAGGACCAGCCACACUGGGACUGAGACACGGCCCAGACUCCUACGGUAGGCAGCAGUGGGGAAUGUUGGACAAUGGGCGAAAGCCUGAUCCAGCAAGGCCGCGUGUGUGAUGAAGGCCUUCGGGUUGUAAAGCACUUUUGGCGGGAACGAAAAGGACUGUGCCAAUACCACGGUUCGAUGACGGUACCCGCAGAAUAAGCACCGGCUAACUACGUG